RNAcentral lists this ribosomal RNA (253 nucleotides) under uncultured bacterium. RNAcentral describes it as "partial 16S ribosomal RNA". It matches the Rfam family "Bacterial small subunit ribosomal RNA", at positions 524 to 776 of the family's 1533-position model. The record is from RNAcentral.
UACGUAGGCAGCAAGCGUUGUUCGGAAUUACUGGGCGUAAAGAGUGUAUAGGCGGUGCUCCAAGUCUGGUGUGAAAUCUCCCGGCUUAACUGGGAGGGUGCAUUAGAAACUGGAAUGCUAGAGGAUGGGAGAGGUAAGCGGAAUUCCUGGUGUAGCGGUGAAAUGCGUAGAUAUCAGGAGGAACACCUGUGGUGUAGACAGCUUACUGGACCAUUUCUGACGCUGAGACACGAAAGCGUGGGUAGCAAACAGG